Molecule: long non-coding RNA, 221 nt
Organism: Eurytemora carolleeae
Lineage: Eukaryota; Metazoa; Arthropoda; Copepoda; Calanoida; Temoridae
Exons: 2
Source: RefSeq, a predicted model, not a curated record
AGGUAUUAAUGAAUAAGUUAUUCUUACUUGCGCUUUUGGGCUUUGCCCUUAUUGCACUAACAGGUGCUAAAAAUGAAGGCAAUAGUUUUCAAAUCAAGGAAGCAGAAGACCUUGAGAUAAGGGAAGUAAGAGAAGCAAAUCCAGCAAAUAGUGAUGCUACUAAGAAGGCUGAUAGGAAAGCUGCAAAAAAGGCUCUCAAAAAAGAAAAGAGCAACAAGUCC